AAUUCGGAAGCAGGAAAGAGGGACGGUGUGGAUUUUACAACCAGAAUAAAGCUGGGAAAUGCCCCCAUGAAUGGAGCCAAAGAAAGACUGGAGUUUGGGCUUUGGUGUGUAUUUGAAGUUUCAAAGUCAACUUUUAACAACAGUGCCUCCAAGUGAUCUUCAGGAGCUAAAACACUCUCACACAGAAAAGAAAGGAAGUCUCCAAAACGAAUGUGAAAUUGACAAAUCACCACCCUGCUUCAGGACCCCAGUCCAUGGAAUGCUGUGAUCAACAUUCAAAGUGGCUCAUCCUACAUCAAUUACCCCAAUCUAGGAAAUCCCACCAAGCCAGGACCGAAGAGUUCAGUUCUCAGCAUCUACGUAAGG
Mus pahari (shrew mouse) is the source of this 366-nucleotide long non-coding RNA. RefSeq lists it as uncharacterized. The record is from RefSeq and is a predicted model, not a curated record. The transcript is spliced from 4 exons. Lineage: Eukaryota; Metazoa; Chordata; Mammalia; Rodentia; Muridae.